Condylura cristata (star-nosed mole) is the source of this 996-nucleotide long non-coding RNA. RefSeq lists it as uncharacterized. The record is from RefSeq and is a predicted model, not a curated record. The transcript is spliced from 4 exons. Lineage: Eukaryota; Metazoa; Chordata; Mammalia; Eulipotyphla; Talpidae.
UUCAAGAGCUAUAACCAUUUUUUGGAGCAUUCCAAAAACACAGAGUUACUACACAGCACAAAGAAUAUGAAUGUAAAAUUAUUGAAGAUUUUGAUUUUUUUCUAUAAACUCUUACCUUUGGAAAGAAGGAAAGGUGCUGUCUAAGCCAAAAGGAUCAAAAUAUUUUGAGCUGUUUUAUUUUAAUGGCAUCAGCCAAGAAAACAGAAAUUGAGCUGAGCGUUAUGAUGAAGAGAAUAAAAAGGGCAAUGAAAAAGCUGAAGAUGGCAUGCAAAAAGUUGUCAAGUCGAAGAUGAGGCGCAAACUUGGAGUUGCAAAGUCUGCUGGCCAAGGAAGCUUUCAGAAACAGGUCAAGGGAGCACCAUUGUAUAAGGCUCUCCAUCCCUCCUCCUCCCCCAGAUCAAAUCAAUGGAAGGACCUAGAACAUAUUACACUGAAUGAAUCACAAAGAAGCUUUCCCCAAAGUACACUGAAGAUGGGGAAACAAUGAUUCUAAAGAUUGGAGAGCCCCACAUUUGGCUUCUUCUGAGAACAAGAAGGUCUUCAUGAAUACCCAUCACAAGAAGUGGUUAAACAAGUGAAAAAUAAUUUGCUGGGACAAAUACAUAAGUUUUUUUUUUUUUAAAUGUGGAUUUUUUAUGGCACUGUCAUACAACCAUUCACCAUUGAAGUUAAGUGUUUUUUUAAUACCAUUACCGAACUGCUGAAAUGGAUGCUAAUAUAGCUUGGAGUGCUAAUGUCAAGUCCUGGUAAUAAAAAAGACAGACUGCUGAAUGAAAUAAUUUCAAGUAAAAAAUAGAACAAAAGUGCUCUCUCUCUUGCUCUCCACUUUUAUUGAAUUGGGACUGACUGAGCCAAUUGCUUUAGAAGUCUGUAAAACACAAUUACUAGUGAGCGCACUGACCCACCAGUGCCCCCUCAGUGACAGAGCAGACUAAAAAGGCAGCAGAGUUGAGCGGCUCUUUUCUGCUGGCCCUCAGGUCCGAGAGGCUUCCUUCU